RNAcentral lists this ribosomal RNA (468 nucleotides) under uncultured bacterium. Its description in RNAcentral is "partial 16S ribosomal RNA". It matches the Rfam family "Bacterial small subunit ribosomal RNA", at positions 28 to 507 of the family's 1533-position model. The record is from RNAcentral.
GACGAACGCUGGCGGCGUGCUUAACACAUGCAAGUCGAACGGAAAGGCCCUGCUUUUGUGGCGUGCUCGAGUGGCGAACGGGUGAGUAACACGUGAGUAACCUGCCCUUGACUUUGGGAUAACUUCAGGAAACUGGGGCUAAUACCGGAUAGGAGCUCCUGCUGCAUGGUGGGGGUUGGAAAGUUUCGGCGGUUGGGGAUGGACUCGCGGCUUAUCAGCUUGUUGGUGGGGUAGUGGCUUACCAAGGCUUUGACGGGUGGCCGGCCUGAGAGGGUGACCGGGCACAUUGGGACUGAGAUACGGCGCAGACUCCUACGGGAGGCAGCAGUGGGGAAUAUUGCACAAUGGGCGGACGCCUGAUGCAGCAACGCCGCGUGCGGGAUGACGGGCUUCGGGUUGUAAACCGCUUUCGCCUGUGACGAAGCGUGAGUGACGGUAAUGGGUAAAGAAGCAACGGCUAACUACGUG